CAGACUCAGCCUGUGCCCCUAGCUUCCUGACAGACACAGUCUGCUCCUCCGGGGCUGGGAGGGGCUCAGUGACAGGUGUCCUUCUUUCUGGGAAAUGAUUAGCACCCCAGGGAAGCACUGUGCUGGCUCUGAGCAUCUCAUUAACAGCAUGACUGUGCGCUUCCGGUGCUGAGCUGGGCCCUGCGGUGGCUGCGGAUGGGCAGGGCAUUGAGGGCCACAGCUCCUGGCCACCGCGCCUCCCGGAUGUGCAAAUGCCUGCAUCCAGGUGGCUCCCAGAAACCCGGCCUCCUAACCAAAAGAAAAUUUCCUGGGCAGAGACCGGAUCCUUCCUACUAGAAAAAUGGUUUCCCCUUGCUCUGUGCCUCUGAUACAGACACACACACACUCUGCCGGCAGCUCCUCCGUCCUGGCUCGGAGGCGCCCGCCUCUCUUCACUCCCAUCCUGAGGCCUGUCACUGGCAAACCGGCGGGGCGCGUGGCUGUCUGGGGCGAUCACGUCAGCUCUCCUCUCCGAUCCUGUGAUUACCACCAGCAGUGCUGACAUGAAGUACUCAGCUAUGCUCUUCUAGCCUAAAUGCUGUGCUCAAACUGGAAGAAUCAGCCUCCCGGGCGAGGUAUCACCCUGUCCUACUUUGAAAAGGACACAGUGCAGGGAUGAAGAACAGAGGCUUUUGCUGCUGAGAGAUCAUAUUUUAAACAAGACGGUCUCCGUUGACUUACCCGCGGGCCGGGACAAGUGGCGCCCAACGUGGGGCCAGAGAACGGGGGAUCCAGUGAAGGACGCUGCUCAGGGGCCCUAAGAUUAAGAUUGAGGAACAAAGAGCAUACUCGACAUAGAAGAGGCUUGCGAUUGACGUGGACCUGCCGUCUAUUUGCACCUCGGUAAGUUGAGCAGCGAUUAUGGGACAGGGCAUUAGUCAGCACGAACUGUUUGUGCAAGGUCUCAAGAAGACAUUACAGGCACGAGGGGUAAAGGUUACAGUCAAACAAUUGCUGAAAUUUUUUGAUUUUAUUAAACAUCUCUGUCCCUGGUUCCCUGCUGAGGGAACCAUUGACGAAGAGAGAUGGAAAAAGGUGGGGGAGGCUCUCCAGGAUUAUUAUGCCACUUGCGGACCCGGGAAGGUCCCGAUUGCGGCGUUCUCAUAUUGGAAUUUGAUUAAUGAUAUUAUUUCCCAAAAAGCAAGGGAUCCACUGGUAGCUCAG
Molecule: long non-coding RNA, 1203 nt
Filed under: Heterocephalus glaber (naked mole-rat)
Lineage: Eukaryota; Metazoa; Chordata; Mammalia; Rodentia; Bathyergidae
Description: lncRNA (ENSHGLG00000038112.1)
Rfam family: Mason-Pfizer monkey virus packaging signal (bases 738-1030)
Source: RNAcentral